AUGGCCGCCGACCUCGAGUGGCCUUUCGGCGAGCUGCACGGCCUUGACGCCGACGAUAUCCGCGAGACGGCAUACGAGAUAUUCUUCAUGUCAUGCCGAUCAUCGCCCAGCUUCGGGGGCCGGAGCGCUCUGAAGUUCCAUCCCUCGAUGUGGUAUGAGCCCGAGCCUGGAUCCACAUCGUCCCAGGCCAAUGGGGUGGGGAUGGCCCCGAGCAGCCGGGUCAAGAGAGCCCUCGGGUUGAAGAUGCUGAAUCGGACGCCCUCGAAAAGAUGGCCUUGGGCGCUGGGAGCCCGCCGAGGCCCCAGUCGUCGGCGGCGGCUAGGCCCCGGCGGCCGCUCACAUCAGCUGAGCUGAUGAGGCAACAAAUGAGGGUGACGGAGCAUAGUGAUAACAGGCUCAGGAAAACGCUCACGAGAACCCAUGUAGGCCAUAUUGGUAAGCGGGCAGAGACGAUAAUCCUUCCGCUCGAGCUUCUUCGCCACCUAAAACCAUCUGAAUACAACGACUCGAAGGAUUAUCAUGCCUGGCAAACGAGACAGCUCAAGAUCCUAGAAGCAGGGUUGCUUCUUCACCCGUCAAUCCCGCUGGAGAAAUUGAACGCGUUCGCAGUCCGCCUUGGAGAAAUUAUCCAAGCCGGCAAGACGAAGAUCAUAGUCAUCGGGGAAAACUCAGACACCAUGCGAAGCCUCAGCAAUUCUGUGGUGUCAUUAUCAUGGCGAAGCACAAACGGGACUCCUACUGACGUUUGCCACUGGGCUGAUGGAUUCCCUCUGAACAUUCACCUGUAUGUGACUCUGUUGAAGUCGAUUUUUGACAUCAGGGAUGAGACUUUAGUCCUCGACGAGGUUGAUGAGCUUCUUGAGCUCAUGAAGAAGACAUGGUCGAUACUUGGAAUCAAUCCGCCAAUACACAAUCUGUGCCUAACGUGGGUGUUUUUCCAACAAUACAUCAGCACGAUGCAGUUGGAACCGGAGCUUCUUUUCGCUUCGCAUAUCUUGUUGGCCGAAGUAGCGAAUGAUGCCAAAAAAGCAGGACCAAGAUCCUCUAUUCAUUAAGGUUCUACUGUUAGCUCUGACCUCGAUACGAGUGGUUGGAGAAGAGAUUGGGUAACUAUCAUUACUACUUCGAGGAUGGGAGGAUGAACCUGAUGGAGGAUUUGCUGCCGUUGGCAGUGAGGGUGGCAAACAUCUUAGGAGAUGAUGUAAUGCUUUCCAGAGUAACAGAACAAGCGCAAGGUAAUGCAGUGACCAGCCCUACCGGAGAUCACGUGGAUGGUUACAUACGAUCAUCUCUGAAGAAAGCAUUCGAAGGAUGUCAAGAACGCGGAAUGGACACAAGACAAGAUGAAAGUGAACGACUCAUUCGAUUGGCGAAAGAGACUGAAGAUUUGGCUUUAAAAGAAAGAGGAACCUUCAGUCCUAUUCUUAGAAAGUUCCAUCCCGUUGCAACUGCAGUCGCCGCCGUCACAUUGCACAGCUGUUAUGGACUAAUUCUGAAACAACAUUUGACUUCUGCUUUGGUACUCGACAGUGAAAUCAGGAAAGUACUGGAGAGUGCAGGGAAGCUAGAAAAAGUUUUGGCACAAAUGGUGGUCGAGGACACCAUAGAAUGCGAAGAUGGAGGCAAAAUGAUCGUGAGGGAAAUGAUUCCAUAUGAGGUUGAGUCGACCAUGUCAAGGCUUCAAAAACAAUGGAUAGACGUGAGGCUCAGAAAGGCAAAGAUUGUCUGCAGAGAGCAACAGAAUCAGAAACAUGGAAUCCGAAAUCGAAGGCAAAGCCAUACGUGGAAUCAGCUGAAGACUUGAUCAAGUUUGCUAAAGAAACCAUGGACGACUUCUUUGCCAUUCGAAUGGAAACUACUGAGGAUUUGGUGAAUGAUCUGGUGAACAGUUUAGGGAGUCUCUUUCAGGAUUAUGCUGCAUUUGUUGCAUCCUGUGGGUCAAAGCAAAAUUACAUACCUGCUCUCCCUCCUUUGAUGAGAUGUCAUCGAGAUUCCAAGUUUGCCAAAUUUUGUAGAAAGGUGACACCAUGUAAGGUUGGCAUAGAAGACCCAGCGAGGAUGCCGGAUGAGCGAAGCUGACCACCCUCAUCCGUCAAUGAGCGGGGGGACGCGACGCCUUUACAUCCGCCUCAACACUUUGCACUAUCUCCUUGCACAUCUCCAAUCCUUGGAUGAGAUGUCACUCUCUGGUGUUGGUUCCCUUGAUCACAAAUAUUUCGGCAACAAGAAGCACCAUAAGGACUGCGCUUCCUACUUUCAGAACACCUGUUCGGCCAUACGUGAAGCCUGCCAACAUGUUUCAGAAGUUGCUGCCCAUCGCUUGAUCUUCGUCGACUCUAACCAUGUCUUCUACAAUAGCCUCUACGUUGGUGAAGUCGCUAGUGCACGUAUAAGGCCUACUUUGCGGACAUUGAAGCAGAAUUUGACUCUGCUUUGUGCAAUUCUCAUCGAUCAAGCACACCCGCUAGCGAUAAAAGAAGUCAUGAAGGCCUCUUUCGAUGCCUACCUUAUCGUUUUGGUUGCGGGAGGGGACUCCAGGAUUUUCUCCAGGUCGGAUCACCGAAUGAUCAAGGAGGACUUUGAGUGCUUGAAGCGAGCAUUUUGUGUAUCUGGGGAAGGAUUGAUGAGCGAGGACGCAGUGGAGAAGGAGGCUGAGAGGGUGGAAACGGUGAUCGCUUUGAUGAGUCAACCAACGGACAAGCUAAUCCAAGACAUUAGUGCUAUGAUCCGUAAAAUUGAAGAGAACGGAGCCGAGGAUAGGAGGAACAAUCAAUCUGUGCCUCCGACAACAGAACGAUGGAAUACAUCAGAUCCAAACACGAUACUGCAUGUCUUGUGCCACAGGAACGAUCAAGUAGCAAAUCGGUUCUUGAAAAGGAAAUUCCAAAUAGAAAGAUAUUACCGAUCUUAUGCUAGUGAUUGCGGAACAGUCAAUUAGUGGUGCAUCAUCAUUUGGGAUAUCUGAGAGAAAAUCAUGUCUUGUUGUUGGUGAUUGCACUGGGAGGACUUUUCCCAUUGAGGUGUUGAGAUGCAUGUGAGUUGUGUUAAAAAGUCCUAUGUCGGAGAAUUGGAGGGGGAUCUUAUUGCUUACAUUGACGGGCUUGAAUUUUGGCUCCUUCUUAAUGAUCUCCCAACCGAAUGCGUCGAGCUUCUUCUGCGUCAACCCAACAAAUGGUAUGACUGGUCAGUCUACAACUGUUAUGCUGUUUGGUGAAUAUCUUAUGGAAGGAAUCUCGCGACCAACUCGGUCCCAAUGGCAACCUUCACUGUGCGGUCUGGCAAAAGAAUUCAGGGGAUGAAGGUGGGCAUUGUUUGUUGUGGUCUUCACACGCAACAAAGUGGAGAUUCAAUUCAAGGCAUCUUGAUGCGGUGAAGAGUCUAACAUCUUGAAGAUGUGCAGCUUCUGCUGAAUCAACCCUACACAAGGAUGUGAUUGUCUUUGCAGCUGAGCUUGGUAUUUUAGUCUCCAUCAUAUGCAAUUUUCGUUUGUUGGUUUAUCAUAUAGUCGAGUGAAGAUGGGUCAAUCAUUUUUCGUUAAUUGACAUAUACAACGAUUGAAUAAUUUUUACAAUGAGU
This is an RNA transcript of Eucalyptus grandis, 3576 nucleotides long. It is a transcript of the gene named protein unc-13 homolog, with no coding region annotated. NCBI's taxonomy places the organism in Eukaryota, Viridiplantae, Streptophyta, Magnoliopsida, Myrtales, Myrtaceae. The record is from RefSeq and is a predicted model, not a curated record. The transcript is spliced from 5 exons.